Molecule: long non-coding RNA, 2723 nt
Filed under: Theobroma cacao (cacao)
Lineage: Eukaryota; Viridiplantae; Streptophyta; Magnoliopsida; Malvales; Malvaceae
Description: long non-coding RNA (TCAC_LNC002976)
Source: RNAcentral
UGCCAUUCUCUCAUUCUCCCAUAGAAAGCUAAUUUUCUUUCAUUUUCUUUCCUUGUUUUCUUUUCAUUUCUUUUCUCUCCUUGCUUCUUUCUUCUCCCAACUUCUUGUGCACCGAAGUUACAACUUCUAACCCCAAUUUCCAGCACAUAUAAACUCUAGGAGAAGAAGAAAGAAAAAGAGAGAAAGGAAGAAAAAGAUUGAUUUUGGUGAUUCAAGCAAGUAAAGGUAAGGAUUCUUGUUUUUGGCUUGAGUAGUCUUUGAAAAUGAGUUAGUGACUUCAAGAAAUGUCUUGUGGCAGCAAAGAUUGACUUGAUUUGAGAAAAAUUGGUAACAUAUAAGCCAAUAAACCCAUGGGUACAUGAAGGACUCAAAGUGGAAAAGGAAAACGGUAAGCUUAACACUAUGUUUUAAAGCCUACGGUUAGUUGAAUAUUGUGAGGAAUUAAGGUUGCUGAAAGGAUCUAUUUUCCUAAGCUACUUGAAAAUUAUUAAGAUUGUAUGGCAUGUUUUUUGAAAGAAAUAAAAAAGGAAUAUUAUGGAUGGAGGAUUGAGAAACAAAGUAUUGAAAGUUAGAUAGAUAACGAUGCAUAUAAACUAGGAAAUAAUCGAGUGAAAGUGAGAAUGAUUGUUGCUGCCAUAUAUGUGGAUUAUGUGUGGAAAUAUAAGACGAAUUUGAAUGAAAAUGGCUAGAAAAGGUUAAUAUGGGUGCUAGAGUCAUAAUUAAGUUGCAUGUAAUUUUAAUUUGAAGAAUUACACAAGUAAAGGAUAAAAGCAACUUUGGUAAAAAUGUGUCGAGAUGUAGGUUAGUUGAAUAAGGAUUCGUGAUUGAAGGGAAAAGAGAAGUAGGAAUGAUGUACACUAAAGGUAUUGCAUUUGUAUUAUUGCUAGGAAGUGCAAAGGUAAAGUUAGAGUAUUGUGGUGGUGUACCGGAGGAAAUAACGAGCGACCGACAAGUAGGAAUAGCUUGAUACACCUUCGAACCAAUAGCGAUGUAAUAUCCCACUAUCGUAAAGUGAGGGAACUUGCAUUUUAAAAUAUUUUGGGGAAAUGAUUACGUGUUUCAAUGAAUCAUUUGAGAAUUUUAUCGAUUUUGUUUUAAAAUUUUCUGAGAACAAGCGCUUGAUAAAAUGUUUGAUGUUGUGAAAUGUGAAAUGUGUAAAAAGAUGAAUCCAUAUGUUUUUGUAUAAUGUUGAUAUAUAUAUAUAUAUAUAUUGUAAAACUCGACCCUAUAAACACAUGUCAUGACAUACAUACACUGAGUAGCAUGUUAUUACGCUAGGAAACUUCCUAAGAAUAGACGAAACCCGGUAUUGUACUUAACGGUACACUUGAGUUGAUUUAACCUCGAACUAGUUCAAAUAGGAAUCGUAGGAUGAAAUUUAAUAUUUUACAGUCCAAGAAUGACUAAAAAUGACUGUUCGGAGUUCGAGGGUUCAUUUGGGGAAAAAUUGAAAAUUUUGAUGUUUAGGGGCAAAAUCGUCAUUUUGCCACCUAAGAUAAUAAUUUGAUCAUGGAGUGAAAUUUUUGAUCAAGAUUAACUAUUUGGAGUAUAAUUUAAUGAUAGGAAGUGAAAAAUUUCAAUUCCAGUGAUUUUCGGAAGAUAGGGGCAAAACGAUAAUUUUGUCGCCCCAGGGUAAAAACCGUAAUUUUCACCACCCAAAACUUGUCAAAAUCAUAGGAUUUAUUUAUUUUUGGUAUGAAUAACUAUGGUAUUUCAAGUGGUGAAAAAUAGAAGUUUAAUGGAUGAAAUUUUAAAAACGGGCCAAUGAAAAAGUUACACAUGGCAUUUUUUAAUUGGUUAAUAUUAUUUUAAUAAAAAAUCAGCCCAUUUAAACCCCAUAUUAAGUGAUGGCCGGCCAUAAGGAGAGAAUAAGAAAGAAAAUAGAGAGGAAAGGAAGAAAAGAGAAAAACCAAAGGAAAACUAGAAAAUUCAAAGAGGAAAUCGCGUUUUUCGACCGUUUACGCGUCUAACGAUAAGAUUUUUCGACUUUAGCUUGAUUUCUACCUUUCUUAUGCCUUUGUUUCCAUUUAGCAUGCUUGAGGAGAGAGAUCAAAAAGUGAUAUCAAGGGCUGGACGAAAUUCAAGGGGGAGGAAUUCAAAAUUUUUAUGUUUUAAUUUUUAGUUAAAUUGAUAGUUUUAGUUAGUUAAAUGCGUAUAGAAAUAAAAUGGGGCAAGAAAGCAUGAAAUUUUCACAAUACCCACCCUUGGCUGAAUGUUCAAUGAUGUACAAUGAUGAUGAACUGAUUUUUAUUUUAAGAGAAAUGAAGUGAAAAUGAAGAGAAAAUGAUGAAAAAUGGUUAAAUGUGAUAGAAAAACAAAGUGGAAGAUUUACCGAAUUAAUGUCCCAUUUUUGGCCGAAUUUUCCAAGAAGGAAAGUGAGCUGAUUUUGGUGAUUUUAGAAGAUUAUUGGCUGAUAUUUAAUGGUUAGAAAUGUUGGAGAGAAAAUGGGACAAUUUAGAGCUAAAAUGGAGCGUGUUAGCAAUUUAUCGAGUAAAGUGCUAAAAAUAGGUUAAUACUGCGUUUAAGCUGUUUUAGGCUAUUGCAUUUCAUACCAUGCAUUAGUAUAGGAUUUAAGUCAAUUAUAUAGUGAUUUAGCAUCAAUGUGGUAAAUUGUGAAAUUUUUGCAAUGUGUCUAGGAGGAGAGCGUUCCGGUAAAGGCAAGGAAGUCAUACCCGACGAACAGUGAUCGGGGCACCCAGAAAGCAUUUAAUUUGUACAAACGG